CCUACGGGAGGCAGCAGUGGGGAAUCUUGCGCAAUGGGCGAAAGCCUGACGCAGCAACGCCGCGUGCGGGAAGAAGGCUUUCGGGCUGUAAACCGCUUUCAGCAGGAACGAAAAUGACGGUACCUGCAGAAGAAGGAGCGGCCAACUAUGUGCCAGCAGCCGCGGUGAUACAUAGGCUUCAAGCGUUGUCCGGAUUUAUUGGGCGUAAAGAGUUCGUAGGCGGUCGAGUAAGUCGGGUGUGAAAAUUCUGGGCUCAACCCAGAGACGCCACCCGAUACUGCUUGACUUGAGUUCGAUAGGGGAGUGGGGAAUUCCUAGUGUAGCGGUGGAAUGCGCAGAUAUUAGGAGGAACACCGGUGGCGAAGGCGCCACUCUGGAUCGAUACUGACGCUGAGGAACGAAAGCAUGGGUAGCAAACAGGAUUAGAUACCCUGGUAGUCCAUGCCGUAAACGGUGGGCACUAGGUGUGGGUUUCUAUUAACGAAAUCCGCGCCGUCGCUAACGCAUUAAGUGCCCCGCCUGGGGGAGGUACGGUCGCGAGAACGUAAACUUAAAUAGAAGUAAGUAGGCGUUGAGUACGUUGCGAACGGACGACGACGAGGGAGGAGG
Molecule: ribosomal RNA, 609 nt
Filed under: uncultured bacterium
Lineage: Bacteria
Description: bacterial SSU rRNA
Rfam family: Bacterial small subunit ribosomal RNA (bases 1-520)
Source: RNAcentral